Molecule: non-coding RNA, 214 nt
Organism: Pelobates cultripes (western spadefoot toad)
Lineage: Eukaryota; Metazoa; Chordata; Amphibia; Anura; Pelobatidae
Source: the annotation of a GenBank genome assembly
UUGCUCAACAGCUCGUAGUGUUAUUUUGCUUGCUCACCGGCUCAGAGUGUUAUUUUGCUUGCUCGCCAGCUCGUAGUGUUAUUUUGUAUGCUCUCCAGCUUUGCAUUGCAUGCUAGUUUAGUUUAUAGAUUUGCCUUGCUGGCACAUCUCCUGCAAGUCUGUGAUAGGAAAUUUGAGUUUAUAUGUGACAUUACCUUUUUGAUUACUUUUUUCC